GCUUGUCUCAAAGAUUAAGCCAUGCAUGUCUUAGUGUAAAUAACUCUUAUGAAACUGCGAAUGGCUCAUUAAAUCAGUUAUCAAAUACGUGAUGGUCGCCUACUACAUGGAUAACCUUGGUAAUUCUAAAGCUAAUACAUGCGCAAAAGCCUGACUUAUUGGAAAGGCUGCGUUUAUUAGAUACAGAACCAACCCAGGUUCGCCUGGACUCUGGCGAGUCAUGAUAACCGAGCGAAUGGCAUGGCAUCAGCUGGCGAUGUACCAUUCAAGUUUCUGACCUAUCAGCUUCCGACGGUAGGGUAUUGGCCUACCGUGGCAAUGACGGGUAGCGGAGAAUUAGGGUUCGAUUCCGGAGAGGGAGCCUGAGAAACGGCUACCACAUCUAAGGAAGGCAGCAGG
RNAcentral lists this ribosomal RNA (399 nucleotides) under uncultured fungus. RNAcentral's name for it is "partial small subunit ribosomal RNA". It matches the Rfam family "Eukaryotic small subunit ribosomal RNA", at positions 30 to 432 of the family's 1831-position model. The record is from RNAcentral. Lineage: Eukaryota; Fungi.